Molecule: transfer RNA, 118 nt
Filed under: Burkholderia ambifaria
Lineage: Bacteria; Pseudomonadati; Pseudomonadota; Betaproteobacteria; Burkholderiales; Burkholderiaceae
Description: tRNA-Ser
Rfam family: tRNA (bases 51-107)
Source: RNAcentral
GGGGCGAUCGGCAGAGCGGUCAAUUUAGAUGGUCAAUUGGCGCAAAAUAUUGAUUUUGUGCGUAAAGUGACGGCCUGCAAAGCCGUUUAGGCCGGUUCGACUCCGGCUCGCGCCUCCA